This 483-nucleotide ribosomal RNA is filed under the name uncultured bacterium. RNAcentral describes it as "bacterial SSU rRNA". It matches the Rfam family "Bacterial small subunit ribosomal RNA", at positions 28 to 507 of the family's 1533-position model. The record is from RNAcentral.
GAUGAACGCUAGCGGCAGGCCUAAUACAUGCAAGUCGAACGGAAUAUAGUUUUCGGAAUAUAUAUUAGUGGCGCACGGGUGAGUAACACGUACAUAACUUGCCCUCAAGCGGGGGAUAGCCUUGGGAAACUGAGAGUAAUACCCCAUAGAAUUAUUGGACGGCAUCGUUUGAUAAUUAAAACUACGGUGUUUGGGGAUAGAUGUGCGUCUGAUUAGCUAGUUGGUGAGGUAACUGCUCACCAAGGCGGCGAUCAGUAGGGGGGCGUGAGAGCGUGGCCCCCCCACACGGGUACUGAGACACGGACCCGACUCCUACGGGAGGCAGCAGUAAGGAAUAUUGGUCAAUGGAGGGAACUCUGAACCAGCCAUGCCGCGUGAAGGAUGACGGCCCUCUGGGUUGUAAACUUCUUUUGGAUGGGGCGAAAAAACGGGAUUUAUCCUGGACUGACGGUACCAUCAGAAUAAGCACCGGCUAACUCCGUG